Molecule: ribosomal RNA, 279 nt
Filed under: uncultured bacterium
Lineage: Bacteria
Description: partial 16S ribosomal RNA
Rfam family: Bacterial small subunit ribosomal RNA
Source: RNAcentral
UGCCAGCAGCCGCGGUAAUACGGAGGGUGCAAGCGUUAUCCGGAUUUAUUGGGUUUAAAGGGUGCGCAGGCGGUUCUUUAAGUCAGUGGUGAAAGCGUCCGGCUUAACCGGAUACCCGCCAUUGAUACUGGGGAACUUGAGUACGUCUGAGGAGAUUAGAAUGCGUGGUGUAGCGGUGAAAUGCAUAGAUAUCACGCAGAAUACCGAUUGCGAAGGCAGAUCUCUAGGGCGUAACUGACGCUGAGGCACGAAAGCGUGGGUAGCGAACAGGAUUAGAUA